This 253-nucleotide ribosomal RNA is filed under the name uncultured archaeon. RNAcentral describes it as "partial 16S ribosomal RNA". It matches the Rfam family "Archaeal small subunit ribosomal RNA", at positions 474 to 727 of the family's 1478-position model. The record is from RNAcentral.
UACCGGCAGCUCAAGUGGUCGUCGCUUUUAUUGGGCCUAAAGCAUCCGUAGCCUGCUCUGUAGGUUUUCGGUUAAAUCUAUAUGCUCAACGUAUAGGCCGCCGAAAAUACUGCAGUGCUAGGAAGUGGGAGAGGUAGACGGCACUUGGUAGGAAGGGGUAAAAUCCUUUGAUCUAUCGAUGACCACCUGUGGCGAAGGCGGUCUACCAGAACACGUUCGACGGUGAGGGAUGAAAGCUGGGGGAGCAAACCGG